Molecule: ribosomal RNA, 520 nt
Filed under: uncultured bacterium
Lineage: Bacteria
Description: bacterial SSU rRNA
Rfam family: Bacterial small subunit ribosomal RNA
Source: RNAcentral
CAGGACGAACGCUGGCGGCGUGCCUAAUACAUGCAAGUCGAACGGUCUUUCUAUGGAAGCUUGCUUCCACUGAGAAGAUAGUGGCGAACGGGUGAGUAACACGUGGGUAACCUGCCCAUAAGAGGGGGAUAACAUCCGGAAACGGGUGCUAAUACCGCAUAGUUUUCUUGAUCGCAUGAUUGAGAAAGGAAAGAUGGCCUUUGUGCUGUCGCUUAUGGAUGGACCCGCGGCGUAUUAGUUAGUUGGUGAGGUAACGGCUCACCAAGACGAUGAUACGUAGCCGACCUGAGAGGGUGAUCGGCCACAUUGGGACUGAGACACGGCCCAAACUCCUACGGGAGGCAGCAGUAGGGAAUCUUCCGCAAUGGACGAAAGUCUGACGGAGCAACGCCGCGUGAGUGAAAGAAGGUUUUCGGAUCGUAAAACUCUGUUGUCAGAGAAGAACAAGUUGGAGAGUAACUGCUCCAGCCUUGACGGUAUCUGACCAGAAAGCCACGGCUAACUACGUGCCAGCCGCCGC